AAGGAUCAUUAACAAAUCUGUGGGGAGGGAAAGUUUACUGGUGCGGGUAUUCGAUCGAGUGCCAGCAUCAGUGACACACACCCCCCAACAUUGACUCGGGCGCUGCUCUGAUCACAUUCGUGUGGUUGGUGGGGAUGCCCUGAGACAUACACGCUUGUUUUGUUUGAUAGAGUAAAAUGACACUUUUAAAAUGACAACUUUUAACAAUGGAUCUCUUGGCUCUU
RNAcentral lists this unclassified non-coding RNA (224 nucleotides) under uncultured fungus. Its description in RNAcentral is "partial contains 18S rRNA, ITS1, 5.8S rRNA, ITS2 and 28S rRNA". Lineage: Eukaryota; Fungi. The record is from RNAcentral.